AAAAUCAUGAAACUAUCUAUGAAGGAAGGCAUGGAAUGGUGGUAACGUGCACAGCCAGCAAUAAACCUGCCCUCUUUCUUUGGAAGGAGAGAAAAUAUGGGGUCAAAUACCUGCUUUGAGGACUCAUGCUACUUGCCUGAGAAAGCUUAUACAGGUUGAGAAGACAAGGAAGGAAAAAAAUGGAGAUGAAAAAGAGAAGAUGUAAAGGGCAGAUAAUCUUUUGUAUCUAUCAUACUGGGCUUUGCUCAUGUUGCAUAAAAGAAGAUCAUCACAAUCUCAGAAGGGGAGGAGAAGUCCUUUUCAGUGCCAGAAUCUCAGAACUGCAUUGCAAAUCUCAUUUCUAUGAAUCACUUCCUCAACCUCAAGGGAAAUAAUAAUUCAAAGAAUAUAA
Phascolarctos cinereus (koala) is the source of this 391-nucleotide non-coding RNA. Lineage: Eukaryota; Metazoa; Chordata; Mammalia; Diprotodontia; Phascolarctidae. The record is from RefSeq and is a predicted model, not a curated record.